GACGAACGCUGGCGGCAGGCCUAACACAUGCAAGUCGAGCGGUAGAGAGAAGCUUGCUUCUCUUGAGAGCGGCGGACGGGUGAGUAAUGCCUAGGAAUCUGCCUAGUGGUGGGGGAUAACGUUCGGAAACGGACGCUAAUACCGCAUACGUCCUACGGGAGAAAGCGGGGGACCUUCGGGCCUCGCGCCAUUAGAUGAGCCUAGGUCGGAUUAGCUAGUUGGUGGGGUAAAGGCUCACCAAGGCGACGAUCCGUAACUGGUCUGAGAGGAUGAUCAGUCACACUGGAACUGAGACACGGUCCAGACUCCUACGGGAGGCAGCAGUGGGGAAUAUUGGACAAUGGGCGAAAGCCUGAUCCAGCCAUGCCGCGUGUGUGAAGAAGGUCUUCGGAUUGUAAAGCACUUUAAGUUGGGAGGAAGGGUAGUAACUUAAUACGUUGCUACUUGACGUA
RNAcentral lists this ribosomal RNA (452 nucleotides) under uncultured bacterium. RNAcentral describes it as "bacterial SSU rRNA". It matches the Rfam family "Bacterial small subunit ribosomal RNA", at positions 28 to 476 of the family's 1533-position model. The record is from RNAcentral.